This 495-nucleotide ribosomal RNA is filed under the name uncultured bacterium. Its description in RNAcentral is "bacterial SSU rRNA". It matches the Rfam family "Bacterial small subunit ribosomal RNA", at positions 20 to 507 of the family's 1533-position model. The record is from RNAcentral.
UGGCUCAGGAUGAACGCUAGCUACAGGCUUAACACAUGCAAGUCGAGGGGCAGCAUCAUCAAGCUUGCUUUGAUGGAUGGCGACCGGCGCACGGGUGAGUAACACGUAUCCAACCUGCCGACAACACUGGGAUAGCCUUUCCGAAAGAAAGAUUAAUACCGGAUGGCAUAGUUUUCCCGCAUGGGAUAAUUAUUAAGAAUUUCGGUUGUCGAUGGGGAUGCGUUCCAUUAGGCAGUUGGCGGGGUAACGGCCCACCAACCAACGAUGGAUAGGGGUUCUGAGAGGAAGGUCCCCCACAUUGGAACUGAGACACGGUCCAAACUCCUACGGGAGGCAGCAGUGAGGAAUAUUGGUCAAUGGACGAGAGUCUGAACCAGCCAAGUAGCGUGAAGGAUGACUGCCCUAUGGGUUGUAAACUUCUUUUAUACGGGAAUAAAGUGAGGCACGUGUGCCUUUUUGUAUGUACCGUAUGAAUAAGGAUCGGCUAACUCCGUG